Molecule: ribosomal RNA, 442 nt
Filed under: uncultured bacterium
Lineage: Bacteria
Description: partial 16S ribosomal RNA
Rfam family: Bacterial small subunit ribosomal RNA
Source: RNAcentral
CCUACGGGGGGCAGCAGUAGGGAAUUUUUCACAAUGGGCGAAAGCCUGAUGGAGCAACGCCGCGUGCAGGAUGAAGGCCUUCGGGUUGUAAACUGCUUUUAUAAGCGAGAAAUAUGAUGGUAACUUAUGAAUAAGGAUCGGCUAACUACGUGCCAGCAGCCGCGGUCAUACGUAGGAUCCGAGCAUUAUCCGGAGUGACUGGGUGUAAAGAGUUGCGUAGGUGGCAUAAUAAGUAGCUAGUGAAAUCUGGUGGCUCAACCAUUCAGACUAUUAGCUAAACUGUUAAGCUCGAGACCGUUAGAGGUAACUGGAAUUUCUAGUGUAGGAGUGAAAUCCGUAGAUAUUAGAAGGAACACCAAUAGCGUAGGCAGGUUGCUGGGACGGUUCUGACACUAAGGCACGAAAGCGUAGGGAGCAAACGGGAUUAGAUACCCGUGUAGUC